CAAAAUGUUCCAAAAGUGUCAUUUCAUAGGUCAUUAAUGACCCAAUUAAUUCUUCUAAUGGAAAAUCAUUUAAAUUUUUUAUCUCUUUUAUUGCGGUUAUUUUAGGAUCCCACCUUUUUGGAAGGGAUCUUAAGAUCUUGCUUACGAGAUCAAAAUUCGAAAAAGAUUUACCAAGAACUCUUAGAUUAUUGAUGACAUCCGUG
Molecule: long non-coding RNA, 203 nt
Filed under: Musa acuminata (dwarf banana)
Lineage: Eukaryota; Viridiplantae; Streptophyta; Magnoliopsida; Zingiberales; Musaceae
Description: long non-coding RNA (MACU_LNC009414)
Source: RNAcentral